UGACGUACCCUAAUUGUGUACCAAAUUUCACCUCUAGGUUCAGCGGUUUGCUCUGGGAGAUGAUGAAUCAGUCAUUCAUUCAGUCAGAACAAGUAACGUAAUAACAGGAAGUCGUAAGCUUGAAAACCAAAACCAAAACCAAAACCAUCGUGUAAGCAGUAACUUCACUUCUGGACUAGUCUUAUCGAAUAUUUUCUUCGAAUCUAUUGAUUUCCUAUAAACUACACGUGAUUAACUUACUUGUUAGAUUUAUUUUACGGAUAUUAACAGUAUAUUACAGUAUAUAGCAUGAAUAUUGAAAAGAUUAUAAACACUAGAAAUUAUUGGAUUUAAGAUAAUUAAGUACUUUUUUUUAAAUUAACGCAAAAUACAUCAAUUUUAAUUAGUUCAAAAUGUUGAUUAAAAAGUUGAGACGAUAAGAAAAUUGCUCUUAGAAUCUUAGCGUCAGAUUUCAAUAUAUCAUCUUGAUAAUUAAACAUGGAAACUCUUAAAAGCACUGAGGAGGAGCUAGAAAAUUAACCUAGCUCGAAAUGCAUCUGUAAAAGCAAUAAAAGGAAUUAUAACCUGAACUGGCUGUGAGGUAGUCUACCGAAAAGAAUUUUUUCGGAUUGAAGAGACAUUUACUGAAUCAACAUU
This is a long non-coding RNA of Centruroides sculpturatus (bark scorpion), 636 nucleotides long. RefSeq lists it as uncharacterized. The record is from RefSeq and is a predicted model, not a curated record. The transcript is spliced from 3 exons. NCBI's taxonomy places the organism in Eukaryota, Metazoa, Arthropoda, Arachnida, Scorpiones, Buthidae.